ACCCCGCUGCCAUAACUAGCGCUGAAUGCGCUUCGACCGAACGACGUCUGGUGUCGCACUGGCGUUCUGCGCCUUGCGACCCGAUGUCCGUGAGGAAUGC
Molecule: unclassified non-coding RNA, 100 nt
Filed under: Faramea multiflora
Lineage: Eukaryota; Viridiplantae; Streptophyta; Magnoliopsida; Gentianales; Rubiaceae
Description: partial external transcribed spacer
Source: RNAcentral